GCACCUCAUAAAGCGGGUGCCGGGAUUGGCGUCCUGGAAUUGUUAUCGGCGACAAAUGCUGACGCGCUCAUGCGGUUUUUU
Molecule: small RNA, 81 nt
Filed under: Salmonella enterica subsp. enterica serovar Typhimurium
Lineage: Bacteria; Pseudomonadati; Pseudomonadota; Gammaproteobacteria; Enterobacterales; Enterobacteriaceae
Description: isrK
Rfam family: isrK Hfq binding RNA
Source: RNAcentral